GUAGGUGGCAAGCGUUGUCCGGAAUUAUUGGGCGUAAAGCGCGCGCAGGCGGUUCUUUAAGUCUGAUGUGAAAGCCCACGGGCUCAACCGUGGAGGGUCAUUGGAAACUGGAGAACUUGAGUACAGAAGAGGAAAGCGGAAUUCCACGUGUAGCGGUGAAAUGCGUAGAGAUGUGGAGGAACACCAGUGGCGAAGGCGGCUUUCCGGUCUGUAACUGACGCUGAGGCGCGAAAGCGUGGGGAGCAAACAGGAUUAGAUACCCUGGUAGUCCACGCCGUAAACGAUGAGUGCUAAGUGUUAGGGGGUUUCCGCCCCUUAGUGCUGCAGCUAACGCAUUAAGCACUCCGCCUGGGGAGUACGGCCGCAAAGGCUG
Molecule: ribosomal RNA, 373 nt
Filed under: uncultured organism
Description: partial 16S ribosomal RNA
Rfam family: Bacterial small subunit ribosomal RNA
Source: RNAcentral